CGUGGGGGGUGCAGCGCACCAGGCGAGCAGAAAAACACAUCGCACCGCACGAGGUAGAAAACGGCAUCGAACCCUAGCCCCAAUCCACAGCCCUGCGCCCCUCGCUCCUCCCUCCCUCGCCCGCCGCCGCUCCCUCCCACCACCUCCUCCUCCUCCUUCUGCGCCCUAGGAGCCCCGCUGCCGCCUGCUACUCCUCCACCGCCUCGCCUCUUCCUCCUUCCCGCCUUCCCAUCGCUUAGGUUGGCGGUUAGCGGCGGCUCGAUCCACUCCGUGGUUUCAGAUGGGCUGCCUUCCCCAUCUCUUGUCCGUGUCCGGUGCCGUCACUCGAUCUCGAUCUUGGGAGCAUGCGGGAGAGAAGCAUCGUGCCUAUUGCCAGGACGGGACAUGGGGGUGGAGGCGAGCGAGAGAGUGGGUGUUGCUGAAGAAGCUGGGGAGGCAAGACGAGGGCGGCGUGGCGUUUCGUGGCCGCGGUGGCCGGAGGGGCGGCUCCACGUCACGGUGUAUGAGGUGCCUAGAGGAGGAUGCUGCGGCAGGUUAAACUCCUCUCCCGUUAUUGAGCAGUCCGCAGUGCCGUCACCGUCGUCCUUGCCUUCGAGCCAUCCGUGCCGCCGUCGCCGUCGCCUAGAGGAUGCCGGUAGGAAGCAGCAGCUCGCCGUUUCCUUGGUCCCCGCCGACGCCAAGCAAGAAGAGAAGGCACGUGUGCUGUAGGUGUAGCAAAUUGGACAAGCUACAUCGCUAAUGCCGGGUGUAUGGAGCUCAGGAAGGCUAUCUGCAACAAGCUUCAGGAGGAUAAUGGUCUAACCUAUAGCCCAGAUCAUGUGCUAGCGACCAAUGGGGCUAAGCAAUGCACUACACACGCUGUUCUUGAUGUUCUCUCAUGUGGUGACGAGGUAAAUUUGAAGCCUAAGGUGCCAACAAAGGUAGUUUGUGCUGAACAUCUUGAGUUACAGAACGAGAUACUCACACUGCUUAACAUACAGUGGCAAGUACUUUCCUGAAGGAGCUCCUGAAUGCUUUAGGCUUUGAUGUCUGCUUUAGUCUGAUAUUUCCAUUUGAUCUUCCAAAAGGAGCAACCAUCACAGUGCUGAAAUUAUGUUCCACUUGAUGGUUCUUAAUUGUAUUUCUCAGUUUAGGUUUGGACUUGCACUACAGGUGGUUGCGAAUCUCAGGCUUUGCGUGUCUGUCUGUGACAUCCUUGCUGUCGAAGGCGGAUUCACCUUUCCAUGAUAGGGCUGCUCGACGUAUAAAGUAAUUAGUGCCAUCAUCUUUGCCAUCCAUUUAUCUUUAUUAAGGAAUGUGAUGUUACUACUUACUAAUUAUGUAUGUUGUUUAGUAUUUGCAGAAGCAUUCUCAACUUUUCUAUGUACUUUCUCUUUUCUCUACUUUGUUUGGGUAGUAUUUACCCUGUCCUGAGAAUAGCAGAGAUAGACAUGCCUAUGUGUACAGCUAAGUAAUCAAAAUAGUUGAGAUACACACGCCUAUGUCUACAGGAAAACCAGCUUAACAUUCAUAUCUCAACUCCCUAUACACUCUGAUCAGACAUAAAAUUAAGCUUAGGCCAGCAAACUGGAAAAAAGGCAUAUAUGGUUACCGUGUAGAGCAUGUGAGUAAAUACACAUUGUUCAGUUCAUAUUUGAUUCCACAGGUUGCAUGGUGCAUGUUUUUUGCUGUGAGUUUCUUUGUAUGCUAGCGGAGCUCGAGUUCAAUAGUUCUUCACAUUACAUAUUUGUUAUUCACCCCCGUACUGAAUUUCUUUAAAAUACAUUGGUUCCAGUCUUGACUAUGGGCUGUUUUGCCAUGCUUACAUCAGAGCUCAAAAGUAGACGUCAUCAGCAAGUAGGUGAUACAUGUCUAUCUGAUUUAGCAUUUUGGAAUUGCUCACAACAUUUCUUUCGGCAUGUCAAUGAAAAUGGCACCUUCCCGUUCUAAUGUUCAUUAUGUUUCUUGAAGCCCUCACCAUCUUUAUAUUCAUUACACAUUCUCAAAAGCUUAUUUCUUAAUAAUACCUAAAAUGAAUACCAUGAGCUACCUCUCCAGUUUAUUCUUAUUUGAGUAUUAAGAGCACCUACAUUGCUUUGGUUCUGUAUGACUGAUCAAAUUUACACACACCUCAAUCAUAGUAAAAUCUGGAAGACGACGUAAAAGAAUCAAAGAAAAGUAGAGAUGCACAAUAGUUUUAGCUUUUCAGGGAUUGUUCUUGUUGGGUUCAGCUUUCGCCGGCAUGUUGUUAUUACAGAGUUACCGUAUCUCUUUGAAUCGUCAUAUGUACUCCAAACUCUUAUAGAUUAUGCAACUAGCUAAUGGUUGGAACUUUUACUCAGCUUUAUUAUAGGUGGCACAAAGUCAUGUUAGUUGCCAUUUUAUUGCUACAGAUAUGUUCUUGUUCUGAUUGUUUAUGUGAUGAUUAUAUCCAUGUGUAUGUAGCACAACCUCAUGUUUACACGUGGCUUGAAAUCGGCUGUACUUUUUUUGCUUUUGUUACAAGAUAUAUCAUCAAUUUCUUGUCUGGAUGUACUUUUAUUAGUUUGCUUCUAACUGCAUCUUAAUAUGUACUCGGUAGGCUCUACAGGAUUCGAUGAUGGAUGUGUGAAUGUGAGCAAUCAGGAUAUAAAUUUCUUCCAACAGCAAGGCAUGCUGAUUAGAUUCAGGAAUAUGUUCUUGCGUCUCAGCUUUGCAGCUUCACGUUGUAGGACUAAUAUUUGGUACCUGACAUGAGAUUGAGAAAUACCAUGCUUUAAUUAAUUAGUACAUACCUUGUGCAGGGCACAUAAAAUAUAUCUGAUAUCGCUUUUUUGUUAUUUAUAUUUUUAUCUUUUCUACCCUAAUUCAGUAGCACCAUUUCUUGAUGUUAUUUCUCUAUAGGAUUGUUGCUUCCACUAUAGCUUUUCCCCUCUGAAAUGAAUUUGAAUUAGGUCACUUUAGUGUCAAGGUAAAAAUUUCUUUGUUCUCGGGAAGGGCCAAUAUCCUAGGUGAUCGUUAAAUAUUAUUAAUAAUUACCAAUUAAUAAUUAUGUGCUUGAUUGUUUGUUGAUGACCAAUAAUUAUGUAUUUCACUUAUAAGUAACUAUCUAAUUUGCAUGUUCCAUUUUAUUUCAGAUGUAACACAUUCUUUAUAUGUAUUAUGAUGGAUUUUAGAUAUGCUCACUUGAUAUCAUUUUUUCUCUUGACUCUAAAACAGGUAUGUACACGCUAUUUAAGAGGGCCAAGAAGGCGGAAUAGCCUCGCUGAUACAGUUUCUGACUGCUAACAGUGCCAUCAUCAAUGAGCUUCACUCUAAAGUCUGUUCAUGGGAGGGUUGGGCUUCCUUCAAUGCUAGGGAUGAAAUUGGAGAAUAAACAAGGGGUUGACAUGCUUGUGAAGUUCUAUUAGUGCCAUCAUCAAUGAGCUUCACUCUAAAGUCUGUUCAUGGGAGGGUUGGGCUUCCUUCAAUGCUAGGGCUGAAAUUGGAGAAUAAUUAAACAAGGGGUUGACAUGCUUGUGAAGUUCUAUUAGGUUUCAGGUUCCUUUUGUUGUGAGGUGCUCCAUGGCCCUUUGCUUGGAUGCUCUGUGGUGAGGCAACAGAGAUAAUUAGCAGUCUUGUAUACUAACCAAGAGAACAUCCAUUUCAUGAUUUUGGGUAUUGGGUUCUCUUUGCUAAACCAGCUGCAGCUAGAUGAGAGAAGUAGUAAGUAAUAUCAGGACAGCGUCUCCCCGUGUUCUCGAUCCGGCGCCGCCACAUAUCAUGAUUCUGGAUUGGGCGCAGGUCAUCGCCAUAAGAGAGCCUGGCUGGUGUGGUCUUCAUGCUUGGUGUGGAGAAGCACGGGGGAUGAGUAGGACGGGCAUGGGGAAGGAGCAGCUAGGCCGGAGCUCCGGCGUUGUUCGCGUCAUGGUCGAAUGGAGCCGGCCAUCACUAUGGGCUGCUGCUCGCCGGUCGUCGUUUAUCCAAUCUCAGUUGCUCAUCUUUGGCUUCACCAUCUUCCUCCCCUGAUCAUGCAUCUAUUUUAGAUCAUAUAAUUAUGCUAUAUUAUAUAUGUUGUUUAGUUCAGACUUGUGCAUGUGCAUGCAUUGGCAUUGAUUUAGACAGAGAUAUUGCAUGAUUUGUACAUAGAAGGAGUACGGAUGAUCUAGGAAUAAAUGUUUGAAUAAAGUUAGUAGUGAGAUUUAGAUAGAGGUUACCUGCACUGUUCUGUUUUAUGUAGAUUCUAAGCUGCAAAAUCAUACAUGGUCCUGUUAGUAA
This is an RNA transcript of Triticum aestivum (bread wheat), 4215 nucleotides long. RefSeq lists it as uncharacterized. The transcript has 7 exons. NCBI's taxonomy places the organism in Eukaryota, Viridiplantae, Streptophyta, Magnoliopsida, Poales, Poaceae. The record is from RefSeq and is a predicted model, not a curated record.